AGUGAACGCUGGCGGUAGGCCUAACACAUGCAAGUCGAACGGCAGCACAGUAAGAGCUUGCUCUUACGGGUGGCGAGUGGCGGACGGGUGAGGAAUACAUCGGAAUCUACUUUUUCGUGGGGGAUAACGUAGGGAAACUUACGCUAAUACCGCAUACGACCUACGGGGGAAAGCAGGGGAUCUUCGGACCUUGCGCGAUUGAAUGAGCCGGUGUCGGAUUAGUUAGUUGGCGGGGUAAAGGCCCACCAAGGCGAGGAUCCGUAGCUGGUCUGAGAGGAUGAUCAGCCACACUGGAACUGAGACACGGUCCAGACUCCUACGGGAGGCAGCAGUGGGGAAUAUUGGACAAUGGGCGCAAGCCUGAUCCAGCCAUACCGCGUGGGUGAAGAAGGCCUUCGGGUUGUAAAGCCCUUUUGUUGGGAAAGAAAAGCAGCAGGUUAAUACCCCGCUGUUCUGACGGUACCCAAAGAAUAAGCACCGGCUAACUUCGUG
Molecule: ribosomal RNA, 492 nt
Filed under: uncultured bacterium
Lineage: Bacteria
Description: partial 16S ribosomal RNA
Rfam family: Bacterial small subunit ribosomal RNA
Source: RNAcentral